This 515-nucleotide ribosomal RNA is filed under the name uncultured bacterium. RNAcentral describes it as "bacterial SSU rRNA". It matches the Rfam family "Archaeal small subunit ribosomal RNA", at positions 345 to 866 of the family's 1478-position model. The record is from RNAcentral.
AACCUCCGCAAUGUGAGAAAUCGCGACGGGGGGAUCCCAAGUGCCAUUCUUAACGGGAUGGCUUUUCAUUAGUGUAAAGAGCUUUUGGAAUAAGGGCUGGGCAAGACCGGUGCCAGCCGCCGCGGUAACACCGGCAGCUCUAGUGGUAGCAGUUUUUAUUGGGCCUAAAGCGUCCGUAGCCGGUUUAAUAAGUCUCUGGUGAAAUCCUGUAGCUUAACUGUGGGAAUUGCUGGAGAUACUAUUAGACUUGAGACCGGGAGAGGUUAGAGGUACUCCCAGGGUAGAGGUGAAAUUCUGUAAUCCUGGGAGGACCGCCUGUUGCGAAGGCGUCUAACUGGAACGGUUCUGACGGUGAGGGACGAAAGUUAGGGGCGCGAACCGGAUUAGAUACCCGGGUAGUCCUAACCGUAAACGAUGCGGACUUGGUGUUGGGUGGCUUUGAGCUGCUCCAGUGCCGAGGAAGCUGUAAGUCCGCCGCCUGGGAGUACGGUCGCAAGACUGAAACUUAAGGAAUU